CUCAGCUUCUAGAGUCUGAGAAGGCCAAGAUCAAGGAGAGAGAGAGAUGUGCUCUCUGGCGGAAGGCAAGAGCCCAACCCCAUAAUAGAGACCCUCGACUGCAGUGGUGAGGACCUCAUCACCACGAAGGUCCACGUGGAGUGCUGACGCCCUGGGGACUGAGCUUCCGGUGCUUGUAGGAAGGACUCAAACAUCCCAAGUCCACUUCGGAGAAGCUCCACGAAGCCAGGACUGAACCAUUUCUGAAAGCAGCACACGUGGUCACUGUCAGUCACCAGACACCAAAGGAGUCUUAACCCACUCUUCUGUGCCUUCCGUCUGCUAGGAUAUGUUUAUUUUUCCCCACAC
This 348-nucleotide long non-coding RNA is filed under the name Fukomys damarensis (Damara mole-rat). RNAcentral's name for it is "lncRNA (ENSFDAG00000025621.1)". Lineage: Eukaryota; Metazoa; Chordata; Mammalia; Rodentia; Bathyergidae. The record is from RNAcentral.